UGCUUCUAGAUGUUCACAAAUGAAUGAUCAGCAAAUUAGUAUAAUAGAUUUGAGUGACUCGGAAACUGAGAAAUCACCAGAGCAUGCGAGGAAAGCAAGAGAGCUUAGAGUAUUUCUUGCCAGCAUUCGAGAUGACUUUUCAUUGAAUAAGCCAUGAAACUCU
Long non-coding RNA from Hibiscus syriacus, 163 nucleotides. RefSeq lists it as uncharacterized. The transcript has 3 exons. Lineage: Eukaryota; Viridiplantae; Streptophyta; Magnoliopsida; Malvales; Malvaceae. The record is from RefSeq and is a predicted model, not a curated record.